Molecule: long non-coding RNA, 197 nt
Filed under: Monodelphis domestica (gray short-tailed opossum)
Lineage: Eukaryota; Metazoa; Chordata; Mammalia; Didelphimorphia; Didelphidae
Description: lncRNA (ENSMODG00000040548.1)
Source: RNAcentral
UCUUUUUCUAGGCUAACUAGCCUGCUAACUCAUAAUCAUAGAACAAUCACCAUUAACUGGUUCCAAGAAGACACAACGAUGUUGGAUGAAAUCAUUGAACUUACCUUUCAAUGGAGUGCUCAAUGGGAAGAAGCCAGAUGUGGACACGAAGACAAUCAGAGUUAAGUGAUUUUUUUUCACGGUCACACAGCAUGUAA